UACGGAGGAUGCGAGCGUUAUCCGGAUUUAUUGGGUUUAAAGGGUGCGCAGGCGGGACGCCAAGUCAGCGGUCAAAUUUCGGGGCUCAACCCCGACCUGCCGUUGAAACUGGAAGACUUGAGUGUGUUUGAGGUAGGCGGAAUGCGUGGUGUAGCGGUGAAAUGCAUAGAUAUCACGCAGAACCCCGAUUGCGAAGGCAGCGCACCGGCGCCCAACUGACGCUGAAGCACGAAAGCGUGGGGAUCGAA
RNAcentral lists this ribosomal RNA (248 nucleotides) under uncultured Muribaculaceae bacterium. RNAcentral describes it as "partial 16S ribosomal RNA". It matches the Rfam family "Bacterial small subunit ribosomal RNA", at positions 524 to 772 of the family's 1533-position model. Lineage: Bacteria; Pseudomonadati; Bacteroidota; Bacteroidia; Bacteroidales; Muribaculaceae. The record is from RNAcentral.